UACGGGGGGAGCAAGCGUUGUUCGGAUUUACUGGGCGUAAAGGGCGCGUAGGCGGCCACCGCAAGUCAGUUGUGAAAUCUCUGGGCUUAACCCAGAACGGUCAGCUGAUACUGCGGGGCUAGAGUGCAGAAGGGGCAACUGGAAUUCUCGGUGUAGCAGUGAAAUGCGUAGAUAUCGAGAGGAACACCAGUGGCGAAGGCGAGUCCCUGGACAACACCUGACACUGAGGCACGAAAGCCAGGGGAGCAAACGGG
RNAcentral lists this ribosomal RNA (254 nucleotides) under uncultured bacterium. RNAcentral's name for it is "partial 16S ribosomal RNA". It matches the Rfam family "Bacterial small subunit ribosomal RNA", at positions 524 to 776 of the family's 1533-position model. The record is from RNAcentral.